RNAcentral lists this long non-coding RNA (2630 nucleotides) under Lactuca sativa (garden lettuce). RNAcentral's name for it is "long non-coding RNA (LSAT_LNC006483)". The record is from RNAcentral. Lineage: Eukaryota; Viridiplantae; Streptophyta; Magnoliopsida; Asterales; Asteraceae.
AAAAUGGCCACCCGUGGUGUUGGUGGCAAUUUUAUUGAUAACUGGGACUUAAAAACCCAUGCCAAUUACAAAAAUGAAACAUGGUUUUACAUGAAUAUCUAUGUUCUUCUUUUUUUCAAAUUUGCAAUGAACACCACCACCUUCACAUAAACCCAAUCUUUGAAGCUAUCAAGAAAUAUAAAAAACGCAUAUCUUCCACGACGGUUGAAGAGUAAAGCACCACAUGUUAUACAAAAUCGAAUAGUGAAACCAAUGGCCCCACCAAUAUAGAACCUUUCCAAAUCAAGUCCAAAAUGUUACCAGUCAGCCCCUCCUCUACAAAAUCUUCUCAUCUUAGGUCCGGAACUUACCCUUUAGUCCCUGCUUCCAUAAAUCCUUACAAAUUAAGUCCCAAAAUUACACUUUAACCCCUGUAGAUUCAAAUCUUGACAUUUGACUUCCCGAAACCAACUCCCAACGAAUUAUGAUUUGGACAAUAAUAAUAUAAAAUAAUAAUAAAAAUUACUUCUCAGGGUUUCGGGUUUAUCAUUUAAUUGUUUUAUUUAAAACGGAAUGUUACAGAUAUAAAUGAUAAAUACAAUUAACAAAGUAAAUAACCAAAAUGACCUUUUGGUAAAGCGAAACUCACAGAAUAUAUCCUAUCUAACCAUGGGGUAAACCCAUUGGAACAAUUAAAGAUGAUGUAUGAAAUGAAGUAAGUUAAGCAUUUUAACAAACAAUUUGUGUGCAAAAAAAUUUGUGCUUUAAGGAAAUUUCAUGUAAAAUCACUUCUUUGCCUACUGUGAUAACAAUCACAUGAGGAAGUAAGUAAUAAAAAUCAAAUCCUAAAACUAUAGUUGCUAGUUUAUCCGGGUGGGAAUCAAAAAGCUUACCGGAGUUGAGGAUACGCCAGAUGCACGACGACUUUAAUGGUGGACGAAAAAGGGAGAGCAUCGGGCGCAGAUGGUGAACGAAGGAGUGAGAGAUGCAUAUUAGGAAAUGAUUCGCGUGUUGCCGAAUUUCUUGUGUGUUUAGAAAUGAUAUCCAACCUAAAACAUCAACAAUCCCAAUGUAUUGGAAAAUGCCAUACGAAUGCCACGUAUCCAUGAAGCCGAAGAUGGAAAAUUGACAAAACUAAAAACCAUGUUUUGUUCAUCGGCGGAAGCAAAACCACCUAACUCAUGCCAAACCUUCCAAGCCGUGAGCUCCAAACUUGUAACUAUUCAUAAGUCGUAUCCACAAUUAAUAUGUUAUAUAAUAUCCUACAAAUUGUAAGCACAAGACUAAACUGCAAAUUUGGUCCCUGUGGUUAUCAAAAAAAUAUGGACAUGGUCUAAAAUUUUUUCAACUUGCACCAUUGGUCCAAAAUUGAAUUCUUUUUGUGGUUUUGGUCCCGAGAAAAGUUGAAAUGACCUUUUUGCCCUUUUACUUUUAUUUUUGAAUUUCUUUAUUAUUUUUUUAACAUUUAAAAAAAGAAAAAGAAAAAAUAAAGUGGCCAAUAUUCUACCCACCCGUAACCCUGCUCUCUUUUUUACAUUCUUCAUCUCUUUGACUCCCCNNNNNNNNNNNNNNNNCCAUUCUCAUUCCUACCACCACUAUUGUUGUCUUCAUCCCUUGGCUUUGUCUAUGUUAAACACAUUAACCUGCAAACUUACCUAUGUUCUUUACGUUCUUCACAACCAUUGAUCAAAUAUCAAAACACAAAAAACACUUCGCAUGUAGAUACACCUACCUGCAACUUAGAAAAAACCUACCCUGCCCCCCCCCCCCCCCCCCCUCUCUCUCUCUCUCUCUCUCUCUCUCUCUCUCUCAGAUCUGCAAAAUCCCUUUUACAACACAAUUAAUAUGAUCGAUGACUACACCAAAAUAUCAUGGAACGGUGGGAGGUUAAUCUAAACCAUCCAUGCUAGAAACCAACCUGUAACAUUUUUCGUAGCUAUUCAACCUCUCCGAAAAAAGGUAGAAACUGGUCUCUAAGAUAUGAAGCACAAAAAAAACUAUGAGAUGUAUCAGAACAAUGGGGAAGAAGUAAACAAACUGAUUCCCACCCCGAGUCUAUUCCUGUCUCUGCCUCCUCCAUUCACUCCUCUACUCUCUCAUUGUUGGUUAUCCAAACACCAACAACCAAAUGAACAUAAUUGGUUCCUCACGAAUCCCCAAAUUGAAGAUCUCGCACAUAACCUAAUCAAGUAAAAGUGAGAUUUCUUCAACGGAGAUAAUAGUUGAAGCAAGCCCCACUUCUAAUGAACAUAUUGAAGAAACCCAAAAUAGAAAAAUUAGUUUUUUUUGUCAACAACUUCUCAAGCAUUGGAACUGAUCAAGAUGCAGGUCCUAAAGUAGAAACAAUCUUCGUUUUCGGCCUCUACUUACCUACUAGUUGCAGGCUCUGGUCAAUCGUCAUUUGAUCCAUAUUCUUUUCGAUCGAUUGGCUCUGUUAUAUUCUCCUUGGAAAACACCACCAACUCCUCAUUUGCAUCAUGUACAUCCCUUGGUGACAACGAAAUGGGUCGGUGCUGGAAUCUCAGCUUUCUUGUUGGUUUUGGUUUUAGUGUGUUUUGGUUUUUGAUUAGGUGAAGAAGUGGUGAAGUGAAGGAGUUCGAUGGGUAUCAUGUUCCAAAUUAGGGAUACAAGGCAGAAAAAAUGGGAUAAAU